RNAcentral lists this ribosomal RNA (2907 nucleotides) under Escherichia albertii. RNAcentral describes it as "bacterial LSU rRNA". It matches the Rfam family "Bacterial large subunit ribosomal RNA". The record is from RNAcentral. Lineage: Bacteria; Pseudomonadati; Pseudomonadota; Gammaproteobacteria; Enterobacterales; Enterobacteriaceae.
GGUUAAGCGACUAAGCGUACACGGUGGAUGCCCUGGCAGUCAGAGGCGAUGAAGGACGUGCUAAUCUGCGAUAAGCGUCGGUAAGGUGAUAUGAACCGUUAUAACCGGCGAUUUCCGAAUGGGGAAACCCAGUGUGUUUCGACACACUAUCAUUAACUGAAUCCAUAGGUUAAUGAGGCGAACCGGGGGAACUGAAACAUCUAAGUACCCCGAGGAAAAGAAAUCAACCGAGAUUCCCCCAGUAGCGGCGAGCGAACGGGGAGCAGCCCAGAGCCUGAAUCAGUGUGUGUGUUAGUGGAAGUGUCUGGAAAGGCGCGCGAUACAGGGUGACAGCCCCGUACACAAAAAUGCACAUGCUGUGAGCUCGAUGAGUAGGGCGGGACACGUGGUAUCCUGUCUGAAUAUGGGGGGACCAUCCUCCAAGGCUAAAUACUCCUGACUGACCGAUAGUGAACCAGUACCGUGAGGGAAAGGCGAAAAGAACCCCGGCGAGGGGAGUGAAAAAGAACCUGAAACCGUGUACGUACAAGCAGUGGGAGCCCUGAUUUAUCAGGGUGACUGCGUACCUUUUGUAUAAUGGGUCAGCGACUUAUAUUCUGUAGCAAGGUUAACCGAAUAGGGGAGCCGGAGGGAAACCGAGUCUUAACUGGGCGUUAAGUUGCAGGGUAUAGACCCGAAACCCGGUGAUCUAGCCAUGGGCAGGUUGAAGGUUGGGUAACACUAACUGGAGGACCGAACCGACUAAUGUUGAAAAAUUAGCGGAUGACUUGUGGCUGGGGGUGAAAGGCCAAUCAAACCGGGAGAUAGCUGGUUCUCCCCGAAAGCUAUUUAGGUAGCGCCUCGUGAAUUCAUCUCCGGGGGUAGAGCACUGUUUCGGCAAGGGGGUCAUCCCGACUUACCAACCCGAUGCAAACUGCGAAUACCGGAGAAUGUUAUCACGGGAGACACACGGCGGGUGCUAACGUCCGUCGUGAAGAGGGAAACAACCCAGACCGCCAGCUAAGGUCCCAAAGUCAUGGUUAAGUGGGAAACGAUGUGGGAAGGCCCAGACAGCCAGGAUGUUGGCUUAGAAGCAGCCAUCAUUUAAAGAAAGCGUAAUAGCUCACUGGUCGAGUCGGCCUGCGCGGAAGAUGUAACGGGGCUAAACCAUGCACCGAAGCUGCGGCAGCGACACUGUGUGUUGUUGGGUAGGGGAGCGUUCUGUAAGCCUGUGAAGGUGUGCUGUGAGGCAUGCUGGAGGUAUCAGAAGUGCGAAUGCUGACAUAAGUAACGAUAAAGCGGGUGAAAAGCCCGCUCGCCGGAAGACCAAGGGUUCCUGUCCAACGUUAAUCGGGGCAGGGUGAGUCGACCCCUAAGGCGAGGCCGAAAGGCGUAGUCGAUGGGAAACAGGUUAAUAUUCCUGUACUUGGUGUUACUGCGAAGGGGGGACGGAGAAGGCUAUGUUGGCCGGGCGACGGUUGUCCCGGUUUAAGCGUGUAGGCUGGUUUUCCAGGCAAAUCCGGAGAAUCAAGGCUGAGGCGUGAUGACGAGGCACUACGGUGCUGAAGCAACAAAUGCCCUGCUUCCAGGAAAAGCCUCUAAGCAUCAGGUAACAUCAAAUCGUACCCCAAACCGACACAGGUGGUCAGGUAGAGAAUACCAAGGCGCUUGAGAGAACUCGGGUGAAGGAACUAGGCAAAAUGGUGCCGUAACUUCGGGAGAAGGCACGCUGAUAUGUAGGUGAAGCGACUUGCUCGUGGAGCUGAAAUCAGUCGAAGAUACCAGCUGGCUGCAACUGUUUAUUAAAAACACAGCACUGUGCAAACACGAAAGUGGACGUAUACGGUGUGACGCCUGCCCGGUGCCGGAAGGUUAAUUGAUGGGGUCAGCGCAAGCGAAGCUCUUGAUCGAAGCCCCGGUAAACGGCGGCCGUAACUAUAACGGUCCUAAGGUAGCGAAAUUCCUUGUCGGGUAAGUUCCGACCUGCACGAAUGGCGUAAUGAUGGCCAGGCUGUCUCCACCCGAGACUCAGUGAAAUUGAACUCGCUGUGAAGAUGCAGUGUACCCGCGGCAAGACGGAAAAGACCCCGUGAACCUUUACUAUAGCUUGACACUGAACACUGGUCCUUGAUGUGUAGGAUAAGGUGGGAGGCUUUGAAGUGUGGACGCCAGUCUGCAUGGAGCCGUCCUUGAAAUACCACCCUUUAAUGGCUGGUGUUCUAACGUUGGCCCCUUACCGGGGUUGCGGACAGUGUCUGGUGGGUAGUUUGACUGGGGCGGUCUCCUCCUAAAGAGUAACGGAGGAGCACGAAGGUUGGCUAAUCCUGGUCGGACAUCAGGAGGUUAGUGCAAUGGCAUAAGCCAGCUUGACUGCGAGCGUGACGGCGCGAGCAGGUGCGAAAGCAGGUCAUAGUGAUCCGGUGGUUCUGAAUGGAAGGGCCAUCGCUCAACGGAUAAAAGGUACUCCGGGGAUAACAGGCUGAUACCGCCCAAGAGUUCAUAUCGACGGCGGUGUUUGGCACCUCGAUGUCGGCUCAUCACAUCCUGGGGCUGAAGUAGGUCCCAAGGGUAUGGCUGUUCGCCAUUUAAAGUGGUACGCGAGCUGGGUUUAGAACGUCGUGAGACAGUUCGGUCCCUAUCUGCCGUGGGCGCUGGAGAACUGAGGGGGGCUGCUCCUAGUACGAGAGGACCGGAGUGGACGCAUCACUGGUGUUCGGGUUGUCAUGCCAAUGGCACUGCCCGGUAGCUAAAUGCGGAAGAGAUAAGUGCUGAAAGCAUCUAAGCACGAAACUUGCCCCGAGAUGAGUUCUCCCUGAGACCUGGAGUCUCCUGAAGGAACGUUGAAGACGACGACGUUGAUAGGCCGGGUGUGUAAGCGCAGCGAUGCGUUGAGCUAACCGGUACUAAUGAACCGUGAGGCUUAACCUU